RNAcentral lists this ribosomal RNA (479 nucleotides) under uncultured bacterium. Its description in RNAcentral is "partial 16S ribosomal RNA". It matches the Rfam family "Bacterial small subunit ribosomal RNA", at positions 28 to 507 of the family's 1533-position model. The record is from RNAcentral.
GAUGAACGCUAGCGGGAGGCCUAACACAUGCAAGCCGAGCGGUAGAGAUUCUUCGGAAUCUUGAGAGCGGCGUACGGGUGCGGAACACGUGUGCAACCUGCCUUUAUCAGGGGGAUAGCCUUUCGAAAGGAAGAUUAAUACCCCAUAAUAUAUUUGAUGGCAUCAUUAGAUAUUGAAAGCUUUGGCGGAUAGAGAUGGGCACGCGCAAGAUUAGAUAGUUGGUGAGGUAACGGCUCACCAAGUCGAUGAUCUUUAGGGGGCCUGAGAGGGUGAUCCCCCACACUGGUACUGAGACACGGACCAGACACCUACGGGAGGCAGCAGUGAGGAAUAUUGGACAAUGGGUUAGCGCCUGAUCCAGCCAUCCCGCGUGAAGGACGACGGCCCUAUGGGUUGUAAACUUCUUUUGUACAGGGAUAAACCUACUCUCGUGAGAGUAGCUGAAGGUACUGUACGAAUAAGCACCGGCUAACUCCGUG